Molecule: ribosomal RNA, 1207 nt
Filed under: Mycobacterium sp.
Lineage: Bacteria; Bacillati; Actinomycetota; Actinomycetes; Mycobacteriales; Mycobacteriaceae
Description: bacterial SSU rRNA
Rfam family: Bacterial small subunit ribosomal RNA
Source: RNAcentral
GUGGAAAGCUUUUGCGGUGUGGGAUGGGCCCGCGGCCUAUCAGCUUGUUGGUGAGGUAAUGGCUUACCAAGGCGACGACGGGUAGCCGGCCUGAGAGGGUGACCGGCCACACUGGGACUGAGAUACGGCCCAGACUCCUACGGGAGGCAGCAGUGGGGAAUAUUGCACAAUGGGCGCAAGCCUGAUGCAGCGACGCCGCGUGAGGGAUGACGGCCUUCGGGUUGUAAACCUCUUUCGCCAGGGACGAAGCGCAAGUGACGGUACCUGGAGAAGAAGGACCGGCCAACUACGUGCCAGCAGCCGCGGUAAUACGUAGGGUCCGAGCGUUGUCCGGAAUUACUGGGCGUAAAGAGCUCGUAGGUGGUUUGUCGCGUUGUUCGUGAAAACUCACAGCUUAACUGUGGGCGUGCGGGCGAUACGGGCAGACUUGAGUACUGCAGGGGAGACUGGAAUUCCUGGUGUAGCGGUGGAAUGCGCAGAUAUCAGGAGGAACACCGGUGGCGAAGGCGGGUCUCUGGGCAGUAACUGACGCUGAGGAGCGAAAGCGUGGGGAGCGAACAGGAUUAGAUACCCUGGUAGUCCACGCCGUAAACGGUGGGUACUAGGUGUGGGUUUCCUUCCUUGGGAUCCGUGCCGUAGCUAACGCAUUAAGUACCCCGCCUGGGGAGUACGGCCGCAAGGCUAAAACUCAAAGAAAUUGACGGGGGCCCGCACAAGCGGCGGAGCAUGUGGAUUAAUUCGAUGCAACGCGAAGAACCUUACCUGGGUUUGACAUGCACAGGACGCCGGCAGAGAUGUCGGUUCCCUUGUGGCCUGUGUGCAGGUGGUGCAUGGCUGUCGUCAGCUCGUGUCGUGAGAUGUUGGGUUAAGUCCCGCAACGAGCGCAACCCUUGUCUCAUGUUGCCAGCACGUUAUGGUGGGGACUCGUGAGAGACUGCCGGGGUCAACUCGGAGGAAGGUGGGGAUGACGUCAAGUCAUCAUGCCCCUUAUGUCCAGGGCUUCACACAUGCUACAAUGGCCGGUACAAAGGGCUGCGAUGCCGUGAGGUGGAGCGAAUCCUUUCAAAGCCGGUCUCAGUUCGGAUCGGGGUCUGCAACUCGACCCCGUGAAGUCGGAGUCGCUAGUAAUCGCAGAUCAGCAACGCUGCGGUGAAUACGUUCCCGGGCCUUGUACACACCGCCCGUCACGUCAUGAAAGUCGGUAACA